This 252-nucleotide ribosomal RNA is filed under the name uncultured Synergistaceae bacterium. Its description in RNAcentral is "partial 16S ribosomal RNA". It matches the Rfam family "Bacterial small subunit ribosomal RNA", at positions 796 to 1041 of the family's 1533-position model. The record is from RNAcentral. Lineage: Bacteria; Thermotogati; Synergistota; Synergistia; Synergistales; Synergistaceae.
CUAGCCGUAAAUGAUGGAUACUAGGUGUGGGUGUCGCAGGGCAUCCGUGCCGCAGUUAACGCGUUAAGUAUCCCGCCUGGGGACUACGGUCGCAAGACUGAAACUCAAAGGAAUUGACGGGGGCCCGCACAAGCGGUGGAGCACGUGGUUUAAUUCGAUGCAAACCGAAGAACCUUACCUAGGCUUGACAUGCAAGUAGUAUUGAAGCGAAAGUGGAAAGACCCUAGCUUGCUAGGGAGCUUGCACAGGUGC